AGCAGCCGCGGUAAUUCCAGCUCCAAUAGCGUAUAUUAAAGUUGUUGCAGUUAAAAAGCUCGUAGUUGAAUUUCGGGACUAAUAUGUCGGUCGUGCCUCGGUACGAACUGGUUUUAUUGGUUUCUCCUUUCUGAAGAACUAUGAUGUCAUUAAUUUGGUGUUAUGGGAAGUUAGGACUGUUACUUUGAAAAAAUUAGAGUGUUUAAAGCAGGCUUUAGCUUGAAUACAUUAGCAUGGAAUAAUGAAAUAGGACGUUCGAACCUAUUUUGUUGGUUUCUAGGAUCAACGUAAUGAUUAAUAGGGAUAGUUGGGGGCAUUAGUAUUCAAUUGUCAGAGGUGAAAUUCUUGGAUUUAUUGAAGACUAACUACUGCGAAAGCAUUUGCCAAGGAUGUUUUCAUUAAUCAAGAACGAAAGUUAGGGGAUCGAAGACGAUCAGAUACCGUCGUAGUCUUAACCAUAAACUAUGCCGACUAGGGAUCGGACGAUGUUAAUUUUUAAUGUACUCGUUCGGCGCCUUAC
Molecule: ribosomal RNA, 520 nt
Filed under: uncultured Glomus
Lineage: Eukaryota; Fungi; Glomeromycota; Glomeromycetes; Glomerales; Glomeraceae
Description: SSU rRNA
Rfam family: Eukaryotic small subunit ribosomal RNA
Source: RNAcentral